RNAcentral lists this unclassified non-coding RNA (1360 nucleotides) under uncultured Neocallimastigales. Its description in RNAcentral is "partial contains internal transcribed spacer 1, 5.8S ribosomal RNA, internal transcribed spacer 2, and large subunit ribosomal RNA". The stretch from base 589 to 1360 matches the Rfam family "Eukaryotic large subunit ribosomal RNA", at positions 1 to 628 of the family's 3401-position model. The record is from RNAcentral. Lineage: Eukaryota; Fungi; Neocallimastigomycota; Neocallimastigomycetes; Neocallimastigales.
AAAAUAAUCCUACCCUUGUGAAUUUUGUUUGUUUGAAUAAUUUUUUUUUUUAAAAAAUUAUUGGAGUCUUUCCCUUUAGAGUUUGCUUUUGAGUUUGUAAAAGAAUUCGAAAACAUCUAAAGGGGAUGGUCAAUAAUUUUUUUGAAAAAAGACAUUUUUAAAAUUAAACUUUUUGUAUUCAUUUGUCUAAAAUUAUUUUUAUAAUAUAAAAACAACUUUUGACAAUGGAUCUCUUGGUUCUCGCAACGAUGAAGAACGCAGCAAAAUGCGAUAAGUAGUGUGAAUUGCAGAAUACGUGAAUCAUCGAAUCUUUGAACGCAUAUUGCACUUUUUUAGUUUACUAAAAAGUAUGUCUGUUUGAGUAUCAGUAAAAUAUUCUCAUAAAAUCAUUGUAUUUUUAUGGUUAUGAGUGUUUUACAACGAUACAAGUUGUUUCACUUUAAAUUUUUUUUUAAUAUUGAAAUUUUUCUAAUUUUAAUAAUUAAAAUUGGAUAAAAUUUUCCCGUCAAAAGGAAUAACCUAAACAAUUUUAAAUGAUUAAUUUUAGCAAAAUUUUCGUAAAAAAGGAAAAUUUUUAUUAAAAUAACUUGAUCUCAAAUCAGAUAAGAGUACCCGCUGAACUUAAGCAUAUCAAUAAGCGGAGGAAAAGAAACUAACAAGGAUUCCCUUAGUAACGGCGAGUGAAGCGGGAAGAGCUCAAAUUUGAAAUCUUCAAGGUUUUACCUUGACGAAUUGUAGUUUAAAGAAGUGUUUUCUGCUGAAGUUUUGGUAAAAGUUCUUUGGAAUAGGACAUCAUAGAGGGUGAGAAUCCCGUAUUUGACCAUUAUUUUCAGCUUUGUGAUACACUUUCAAAGAGUCGGAUUGUUUGGGAAUGCAGUCCAAAAUGGGUGGUAAAUUUCAUCUAAAGCUAAAUAUUGCGAGAGACCGAUAGCGAACAAGUACCGUGAGGGAAAGAUGAAAAGAACUUUGAAAAGAGAGUUAAACAGUACGUGAAAUUGUCAAAAGGGAAGCGUUUGACACCAGUGUUGUUUCUCGAAAAUCAAUUAAAAAUGGCUCGAUUUUGUAUUGCUUAGACCUUAAAAGCUCACUGUACAUUUUUCGUGUCUUUUUUAAUGCACCUUUCGUUUAACAAGUCAACAUCAGUUUCUUUUGUUGUAAAAGGGUCAUUGGAAGGUGGCUUUCUUUUCGGAGAAAGUGUUUAUAGCCUUUGGCCUCUGCAAUCGAGAGACUGAGGUCUGCAGCGUAGACUCUUCGGGGUUAGAUACAUUUGUGCUAAGUUAUAGCUUUUUAUAGACAACUUGUUGACUAUAAUUAGUCUUGUAGCUUACUCGCUUAUGCUAUUUUACCUACGCUUAGGAUG